RNAcentral lists this ribosomal RNA (324 nucleotides) under uncultured bacterium. RNAcentral's name for it is "bacterial SSU rRNA". It matches the Rfam family "Bacterial small subunit ribosomal RNA", at positions 30 to 355 of the family's 1533-position model. The record is from RNAcentral.
AUUGAACGCUGGCGGCAUGCUUUACACAUGCAAGUCGAACGGUAACAGGCCUUCGGGCGGCUGACGAGUGGCGAACGGGUGAGUAACGCAUCGGAACGUGCCCAGUCGUGGGGGAUAACGCAGCGAAAGCUGUGCUAAUACCGCAUACGAUCUGCGGAUGAAAGCGGGGGACCUUAGGGCCUCGCGCGAUUGGAGCGGCCGAUGUCAGAUUAGGUAGUUGGUGGGGUAAAGGCCCACCAAGCCAACGAUCUGUAGCUGGUCUGAGAGGACGACCAGCCACACUGGGACUGAGACACGGCCCAGACUCCUACGGGAGGCAGCAGU